AACGAACGCUGGCGGCAGGCCUAACACAUGCAAGUCGAGCGGACCUUUCGGGGUCAGCGGCGGACGGGUGAGUAACGCGUGGGAAUAUGCCCUUCUCUACGGAAUAGUCCUGGGAAACUGGGGGUAAUACCGUAUACGCCCUUUGGGGGAAAGAUUUAUCGGGGAAGGAUUAGCCCGCGUUGGAUUAGGUAGUUGGUGGGGUAAUGGCCUACCAAGCCGCCGAUCCAUAGCUGGUUUGAGAGGAUGAUCAGCCACACUGGGACUGAGACACGGCCCAGAACCCCACGGGAGGCAGGCGUGGGGAAUCCUAGACCAUGGGGGGCACCCUUAUCUAGCCAUGGCCGGGGAGUUAAUAAGGCCUUAGGGUUUGAAAGCCCCUUCAGCCGGGAAGAUAAUGACGGUACCCGCAGAAGAAGCCCCGGCUAACUCCGUG
RNAcentral lists this ribosomal RNA (433 nucleotides) under uncultured bacterium. Its description in RNAcentral is "partial 16S ribosomal RNA". It matches the Rfam family "Bacterial small subunit ribosomal RNA", at positions 29 to 507 of the family's 1533-position model. The record is from RNAcentral.